GACGUAGGGCGCAAGCGUUGUCCGGAUUUAUUGGGCGUAAAGAGCUCGUAGGUGGUUUGUCGCGUUGUUCGUGAAAACUCACAGCUCAACUGUGGGCGUGCGGGCGAUACGGGCAGACUGGAGUACUGCAGGGGAGACUGGAAUUCCUGGUGUAGCGGUGGAAUGCGCAGAUAUCAGGAGGAACACCGGUGGCGAAGGCGGGUCUCUGGGCAGUAACUGACGCUGAGGAGCGAAAGCGUGGGGAGCAAACAGG
RNAcentral lists this ribosomal RNA (253 nucleotides) under uncultured bacterium. Its description in RNAcentral is "partial 16S ribosomal RNA". It matches the Rfam family "Bacterial small subunit ribosomal RNA", at positions 524 to 776 of the family's 1533-position model. The record is from RNAcentral.